Spea bombifrons (plains spadefoot toad) is the source of this 386-nucleotide long non-coding RNA. RefSeq lists it as uncharacterized. The record is from RefSeq and is a predicted model, not a curated record. The transcript is spliced from 2 exons. Lineage: Eukaryota; Metazoa; Chordata; Amphibia; Anura; Pelobatidae.
UUCACCAUUGCUAAUUGUCAAAUAGUAUAGGGAAAACGCAUGAUCACGAUUUCGGUUUAUUGAGAAAUGAAGCUUGAUGAUUAACUUUCACUAUUUAUUAUGGAAGACCAGUACUGGCAGAUUUCUCCAGCAGAUAAGGCUGAGCUGGCCCUGUGUGAUGGGUGAACACACGUAGAAGCCAUCUCACUCUGCAUUGCACUGGCUCAACCAGGUUCUAGCAGCUGAAGCUCGCAGGGAUUAGGCCUUCAUAACAAGAAAAUACUGUCAAUUCUCCUUUUUACUCUGUAAAAACAAAAAACGUUCAGCAGGUCUGUUGCAUUUCCAAAAUUAGUUUUUUUUAAUUAUGGUUAAACUAAAUGUAUCAAAGACAAUUGCACAAAAAAGAA